ACGUGUGACUAUAUCAACACUAAUGUAUUAGACCCCAUCAGAAUUUUGAAGUUAAGUGUGAUUAGGCGAGAGUAGUAUUAGAAUGUGUGACUUCCUGAAAAGUCUUUAUGUUGUACCCC
This 119-nucleotide ribosomal RNA is filed under the name Nelumbo nucifera (sacred lotus). The record is from RNAcentral. Lineage: Eukaryota; Viridiplantae; Streptophyta; Magnoliopsida; Proteales; Nelumbonaceae.